AGAACGAACGCUGACGGCAUGCCUAACACAUGCAAGUCGGACGCUUUCGGGGGUUUCGGCCUCCGAGGGAGUGGCGGACGGGUGAGUAGCGCGUGGGAACCUGCCCCUUUGUGGGGGAUAACCGAGGGAAACUUCGGCUAAUACCGCAUGCGCCCGGGGGUAACUCCGGGGAAAGAUUUAUCGCAGAGGGAGGGGCCCGCGUCGGAUUAGGUAGUUGGUGGGGUAACGGCCUACCAAGCCGGUGAUCCGUAGCUGGUCUGAGAGGAUGAUCAGCCACACUGGGACUGAGACACGGCCCAGACUCCUACGGGAGGCAGCAGUGGGGAAUAUUGGACAAUGGGCGCAAGCCUGAUCCAGCAAUGCCGCGUGAGUGAUGAAGGCCUUAGGGUUGUAAAGCUCUUUCGGCGGGGACGAUGAUGACGGUACCCGCAGAAGAGCCCGGCUAACUUCGCGCCAGCAGCCGC
This 464-nucleotide ribosomal RNA is filed under the name uncultured bacterium. Its description in RNAcentral is "SSU rRNA". It matches the Rfam family "Bacterial small subunit ribosomal RNA", at positions 26 to 518 of the family's 1533-position model. The record is from RNAcentral.